GACGAACGCUGGCGGCGUGCUUAACACAUGCAAGUCGAACGGAAAGGCCCUGCUUUUGUGGGGUGCUCGAGUGGCGAACGGGUGAGUAACACGUGAGUAACCUGCCCUUAACUUUGGGAUGACUUCAGGAAACUGGGGCUAAUACCGGAUAGGAGCUCCUGCUGCAUGGUGGGGGUUGGAAAGUUUCGGCGGUUGGGGAUGGACUCGCGGCUUAUCAGCUUGUUGGUGGGGUAGUGGCUUACCAAGGCUUUGACGGGUAGCCGGCCUGAGAGGGUGACCGGCCACAUUGGGACUGAGAUACGGCCCAGACUCCUACGGGAGGCAGCAGUGGGGAAUAUUGCACAAUGGGCGGAAGCCUGAUGCAGCAACGCCGCGUGCGGGAUGACGGCCUUCGGGUUGUAAACCGCUUUCGCCUGUGACGAAGCGUGAGUGACGGUAAUGGGUAAAGAAGCACCGGCUAACUACGUG
Molecule: ribosomal RNA, 468 nt
Filed under: uncultured bacterium
Lineage: Bacteria
Description: partial 16S ribosomal RNA
Rfam family: Bacterial small subunit ribosomal RNA
Source: RNAcentral